GACGAACGCUGGCGGCGUGCUUAACACAUGCAAGUCGAACGGAAAGGCCCUGCUUUUGUGGGGUGCUCGAUUGGCGAACGGGUGAGUAACACGUGAGUAACCUGCCCUUGACUUUGGGAUAACUUCAGGAAACUGGGGCUAAUACCCGAUAGGAGCUCCUGCUGCAUGUUGGGGGUUGGAAAGUUUCGGCGGUUGGGGAUGGACUCGCGGCUUAUCAGCUUGUUGGUGGGGUAGUGGCUUACCAAGGCUUUGACGGGUAGCCGGCCUGAGAGGGUGACCGGCGACAUUGGGACUGAGAUACGGCCCAGAGUACUACGGGAGGCAGCAGUGGGGAAUAUUGCACAAUGGGCGGAAGCCUGAUGCAGCAACGCCGCGUGCGGGAUGACGGCCUUCGGGUUGUAAACAGCUUUAGACUGUGACGAAGCGUGAGUGACGGUAAUGGGUAAAGAAGCACCGGCUAACUACGUG
RNAcentral lists this ribosomal RNA (468 nucleotides) under uncultured bacterium. RNAcentral's name for it is "partial 16S ribosomal RNA". It matches the Rfam family "Bacterial small subunit ribosomal RNA", at positions 28 to 507 of the family's 1533-position model. The record is from RNAcentral.